Molecule: transfer RNA, 73 nt
Filed under: Pelodiscus sinensis (Chinese soft-shelled turtle)
Lineage: Eukaryota; Metazoa; Chordata; Testudines; Trionychidae
Rfam family: tRNA
About the family: Transfer RNA (tRNA) molecules are approximately 80 nucleotides in length. Their secondary structure includes four short double-helical elements and three loops (D, anti-codon, and T loops). Further hydrogen bonds mediate the characteristic L-shaped molecular structure. tRNAs have two regions of fundamental functional importance: the anti-codon, which is responsible for specific mRNA codon recognition, and the 3' end, to which the tRNAs corresponding amino acid is attached (by aminoacyl-tRNA synthetases). tRNAs cope with the degeneracy of the genetic code in two manners: having more than one tRNA (with a specific anti-codon) for a particular amino acid; and 'wobble' base-pairing, i.e. permitting non-standard base-pairing at the 3rd anti-codon position.
Source: Rfam by way of RNAcentral
GACUGUGUGGCCUAAUGGAUAAUGCGUAUGACUUUGGCUCAGAACAGUGAGGGUUUGAGUCCCUUCACACUUG